Molecule: ribosomal RNA, 406 nt
Filed under: uncultured bacterium
Lineage: Bacteria
Description: partial 16S ribosomal RNA
Rfam family: Bacterial small subunit ribosomal RNA
Source: RNAcentral
AUUGAACGCUGGCGGCAGGCCUAACACAUGCAAGUCGAGCGAGCAGCGGACGGGUGAGUAAUGUAUGGGGAUGUGCGCGAUCUAGGGGGAUAACUACUGGAAACGUUGGCUAAUAGCGCAUACUACCGGAUGGAGCCAUAUGGGAGUAGCUAGUAGGUGGGGGAAAGGAUCACAUAGGCGACGAUCUCUAGCUGGUCUGAGAGGAUGAUCGGCCACACUGGGACUGAGACACGGCCCAGACUCCUACGGGAGGCAGCAGUGGGGAAUAUUGGGCAAUGGGCGAAAGCCUGACGGAGCAAUGCCGCGUGUAUGAAGAAGGUCUUAGGGUUGUAAAGUACUUUCAUCAGGGAGGCGUUAUCCGCAGAAGAAGCAACGGCUAACUACGUGCCAGCAGCCGCGGUAAUAC